AAUGCUUGUAUAUUUUAUUGUAUGUAAAUUAUACCACAAUACAGUUGAUAAAACAAGAUCUAUGAAAAUAGAUGGUAUCCAUUUGCUACCUGAAGGAACAGCACAACCACAGAGAGGGGGAUGUUAUGAUCUCAUUUAACAGACAAGUUGGGCUGGGCACGGUGGCUCAUGCCUGUAAUCACAGCACUUUGGGAGGGUGGUGUCCAUGAUUCCAAGAUCAGGAAUACUGGGAAAUAUCAGUACCUCACAUCUGUCUAGCACUUUACAAAGCUCUAACAUAUAAAUAUUAUCACCUCAGUUCAUUCUUACACCACCCUACAAUACCUAUCAACCUUUGGGAAUUGUUAAGCAUAAUAACCCUAUACACUGGGCAAAGCAUACAGGGACCUCAGGGCCAUGGGUGAGAGGAAGGACACUGGGAGCCAAUGAGGGAUGUAGAGAGAGGGCCUUUCAGAGAUAACCAGGCAGAAGAGGACAUUGUACCAGAUGAUGGAGUCAGCUAGGGCUUGGGCAGGGAAGAGAAGAGCGUCACUGAUGGGU
Molecule: long non-coding RNA, 540 nt
Organism: Homo sapiens (human)
Lineage: Eukaryota; Metazoa; Chordata; Mammalia; Primates; Hominidae
Source: Ensembl